GCGCAUGCAGGUGGUUUGUUAAGUCAGAUGUGAAAGCCCGGGGCUCAACCUCGGAAUUGCAUUUAGAAACUGGCAAACUAGAGUACUGUAGAGGGGGUAGAAUUUCAGGUGUAGCGGUGAAAUGCGUAGAGAUCUGAAGGAAUACCGGUGGCGAAGGCGGCCCCCUCGGACAGAUACUGACACUCAGAUGCGAAAGCGUGGGGAGCAAACAGGAUUAGAUACCCUGGUAG
Molecule: ribosomal RNA, 230 nt
Filed under: uncultured bacterium
Lineage: Bacteria
Description: partial 16S ribosomal RNA
Rfam family: Bacterial small subunit ribosomal RNA
Source: RNAcentral